RNAcentral lists this unclassified non-coding RNA (400 nucleotides) under Melitaea cinxia (Glanville fritillary). RNAcentral's name for it is "misc RNA ENSMCXG00005015567.1". Lineage: Eukaryota; Metazoa; Arthropoda; Insecta; Lepidoptera; Nymphalidae. The record is from RNAcentral.
AUAACCAUCUAAAAUCAAGGUACUUGCCAAGACGAAUCAAACGAGCCGAAACUCGAUGAGGUUGCGUCGUUUCAUUAUAGAGUUCCUAUGACCACUUUCCAGCUCCACCAUCAGACACUGGUUACCAUUCACCAUCUUCAGAUCCUGGUAUGGAUAAUAGGACUUACUAUUUAAAUUGUUGCAAUGUCAUCGGUCCCGAAGUUUGUAGCAUAUGCAAGAAACAGGUGAUCGGGUAAUAAUAAAAAAUCGCUAAUCCUGAAGAUCUUGGUAAAGAUAACAGGACUAACUGUUUAAAUUAUUGCAUUGUCAUCGGUCCUCGAUAAGUUUCAAUAAAAUCUGAACGUUGGAAGUGGGUCAAAAUGAAGUCCAAAGGAGUCGGUUACAAACAUGCAAACAUACA